RNAcentral lists this ribosomal RNA (423 nucleotides) under uncultured bacterium. RNAcentral's name for it is "bacterial SSU rRNA". It matches the Rfam family "Bacterial small subunit ribosomal RNA", at positions 355 to 774 of the family's 1533-position model. The record is from RNAcentral.
UAAGGAAUAUUGGACAAUGGGCGGAAGCCUGAUCCAGCCAUGCCGCGUGAAGGAUGAAGGCGCUCAGCGUUGUAAACUUCUUUUGGAUGGGGACAAACCACUUCAUUUAUGGGGUGCUGAGGGUACCAUCAGAAUAAGCACCGGCUAACUCCGUGCCAGCAGCCGCGGUAAUACGGAGGGUGCAAGCGUUAUCCGGAAUCACUGGGUUUAAAGGGUGCGUAGGCGGUUUGAUAAGUCAGUUGUGAAAUUCCCCGGCUUAACCGGGUGGACUGCGAUUGAUACUGUCAGACUUGAAUCAGGUUGAGGUAGGCGGAAUGUGACAUGUAGCGGUGAAAUGCUUAGAUAUGUCAUAGAACACCGAUUGCGAAGGCAGCUUGCUAGACCUGGAUUGACGCUGAGGCACGAAAGCGUGGGGAGCAAACA